AAUGUCAUGAUGUGAGAAGUGAUCUAUCAUAUCAAGCAAGGAUCUUCUCUUAUCUCAAUUUCGGAAACUGGAUCACUGCUCUGUGUGACGGGUUAGCACCCGUUAGCAAUUAACUUACGCAACCAACUCCUGUCAUUGCAACCUUGUGUAACCCUCAAUGUUCUUCCACUCUGUGCUCUGCACUUGUGUAGUUUCUAAUGAUUCUUCUGUGUAGCUCUUAAUGUUCUUCUGCUCUGUGCUCUGCACUUGCAUAGUCUCUAACAAUUCUUCUGUGUAGCUCUCAAUGAUUCUCUCAUCUCACACUUCACACUUGUAUAGUUUCUAACAAUUCUUCUGUGUAGCUUUUAAUGUUCUUUCAC
This 359-nucleotide small RNA is filed under the name Histoplasma ohiense. RNAcentral describes it as "hypothetical lncRNA". Lineage: Eukaryota; Fungi; Ascomycota; Eurotiomycetes; Onygenales; Ajellomycetaceae. The record is from RNAcentral.